UGUAUAUUGUGUAUAAUAUAUACACUCGCCGGCCACUGUAUUAGGUACACCUGCUCAAUUGCUUGGUAACACAAAUAUCUAAUCAGCCAAUCACAUGGCAGCAACUCAGUGCAUUUAGGCACCUAGAAGUGGUGAAGACGACUUGCUGAAGUUCAAACUGAGCAUCAGAAUGGGGCAGAAAGGGGAUUUAAGUG
Nanorana parkeri is the source of this 194-nucleotide long non-coding RNA. RefSeq lists it as uncharacterized. NCBI's taxonomy places the organism in Eukaryota, Metazoa, Chordata, Amphibia, Anura, Dicroglossidae. The record is from RefSeq and is a predicted model, not a curated record. The transcript is spliced from 3 exons.